AGUGAACGCUGGCGGUAGGCCUAACACAUGCAAGUCGAACGGAAGCACAGUAAGAGCUUGCUCUUACGGGUGGCGAGUGGCGGACGGGUGAGGAAUACAUCGGAAUCUACUUUUUCGUGGGGGAUAACGUAGGGAAACUUACGCUAAUACCGCAUACGACCUACGGGUGAAAGCAGUGGAUCUUCGCACCUUGCGCGAUUGAAUGAGCCGAUGUCGGAUUAGCUAGUUGGCGGGGUAAAGGCCCACCAAGGCGACGAUCCGUAGCUGGUCUGAGAGGAUGAUCAGCCACACUGGAACUGAGACACGGUCCAGACUCCUACGGGAGGCAGCAGUAGGGAAUAUUGGACAAUGGGCGCAAGCCUGAUCCAGCCAUACCGCGUGGGUGAAGAAGGCCUUCGGGUUGUAAAGCCCUUUUGUUGGGAAAGAAAAGCAGCAGGUUAAUACCCCGCUGUUCUGACGGUACCCAAAGAAUAAGCACCGGCUAACUUCGUG
Molecule: ribosomal RNA, 492 nt
Filed under: uncultured bacterium
Lineage: Bacteria
Description: partial 16S ribosomal RNA
Rfam family: Bacterial small subunit ribosomal RNA
Source: RNAcentral